UGCUGCCUGUUGUGCCCUAAGACGGGGCACAGGGAACAAGUUACCCCAGCCCCCCCUGCUGCCUUUGAUAACCGCAGCAGUGCACUAUUGCACUGCUGAGCUGGAAAAAUGAAUGGUCCGAAAAGGGGGCGGAGCUACACGGCACUUUACUCAGUGCCAGGCCAGCCAGCACCAUCGAAGAGAGGAGGGGAGAGGAGCAGCAGCAGCACACACCAAAGCCUAAAUAUGUCUGAAAAAAGCAGUACUACUCGUCGGCCAGUAAAUCCUAACACAUCUGAUGAUGAUGACGCUGCGGAAGCAGGUCCAUCAAAAGAAGUAUGGAGCAGCAGAAGUGGCUCUUCUGUUAGACAUCACCACAAGAAACCUGUGGCCGAAAAGAAAGCAAGGUCGUCUGUCCCGCCACAAACACAGCAGGCUACCCCGCCACGAAGAUUAUCGUCCGUAUGUUCUGUCCCCCCACUCCAAAUUUUGGACACACCUCCAAGACGUCAUCCACACUCCCCUCAUCUUGAUUCUUCGAGUCCUGGGAACAGCAUCCCUCCGCAACAACACCAACACAGUGACACGGAGGAGACAAACAUCUUAGAAAUGCAGCCAUUAAUGCAAGGAAUGAGCCCCCCAGCACCUGUGAGUACACCACCACAGCAAAGCACACCACCACCACCACAACACAGCCCAACAACACCAGGAACACAAGGCCCUGAUCAGGUGUUUUGGAGUAUUUGGGCUAGACAGCAGGCCACUAAUGAAUAUUAGUGCGUAAGCAGACACAAAUGUUUGCAAGCCUACCAUCUCACCUCAGAAGAAUCUCAAGAAAUCUGAGUCAACAAAAUGAGCAAACAACCAGAAUAGGCAAUACCAUUGAACUCAUGCGUACAGACACUACACAGGUCAUGGGCAACUUAAAGCGCAUAAUGGAAGAACAGCACAGACUAAUGGAAGAACAGCACAGACUAAUGGAAGAACAGCACAGACAACAGCUAAGUUAUAUGAGCAUUUUUCAAAACAGUCAAAAGAUUAAUGAUAGUUUAUUCAGAAUAGUAGACAAUCAAAAUGCUGCUACACGUGAUCUCAAUGCCACCCUCACUAACCUGAAUGAAACACUCAGAUGCAUGCACCAACAGCAAACAACCAGCAGUUCUGGUACGACUACUCCAAAUAUCACGCCAGUCUCAUCACCACCAAGACGGUCCACCAGAGCACGCCAACAUGACAGUGCUAAAGGCAAAGGGCAGGACAAGCAGCCACCAAAAAAAACGUAACAAAAAGAAGUUAGACAUUUGUGAUAAGUAAAGUUAACAAGUGUUUUUGAUGCUUUACAAAAUAGCACACUUAGCUCCUUGCACCUUUUUUUUAACAUCAUUAAUUAUAAGUGCACCAAAUUAAUUGUAAAAAAUAAUACGCACAUUUAUUCCUUGUCAUUUUUUUUGGGUAUUGGAGGAGGAAAAUGUUGAUGGAGCCACACAUACAUGUUAGCAGGAAGUAAAGUGACCACUUGAUUUUUUUCUAAUCAUUACUCUUUCUAGAUUCCAAUCAUACUCUUUGCCUGCAGAUACAAUAAUUGCUAGCCAGGCAGAAUGUCUUUAGCAGGAAGUAAACUGACCAUUUGAUUUUUUUCUAAUCAUUACUCUUUCUAGAUUCCAAUCAUUCUCUUUGCCUGCAGACAAUCCAAAUUACAAUGUUAGUGAUACAUAUCUUAGCUAUCUUAUCUAUACAACAUUACAAGAUGAACACAAUUGAGUGGCGUAAAAAGCUUGUAAUAUGUUGCCUUUGUUUUGUUUGAAAAACAUUGUCCAAAUGAAUGUCAGUAUUGUUGGGACAGGUUUGUGUGUGCUAAAAAUUAUUAAGCAUGUUUUUACACAUGAUGCUGAAACAAACAAAUAUGUACUUUAAAAAAAAACUGUUUAUAAUAAUGUAUAUGUGUGGCAAACUGUGUAUUUACUUACACAUCAUCAAGUUUACAGCAUCAAACAUUAGGAAAUAAAUUAUUCCUGAUUACA
Molecule: long non-coding RNA, 2000 nt
Organism: Pseudophryne corroboree (corroboree frog)
Lineage: Eukaryota; Metazoa; Chordata; Amphibia; Anura; Myobatrachidae
Exons: 4
Source: RefSeq, a predicted model, not a curated record